This 686-nucleotide long non-coding RNA is filed under the name Brassica napus (rape). RNAcentral describes it as "long non-coding RNA (BNAP_LNC025481)". Lineage: Eukaryota; Viridiplantae; Streptophyta; Magnoliopsida; Brassicales; Brassicaceae. The record is from RNAcentral.
UUGAUCUUGUCUUCAUCUCUCUGCUCACGUUUGACUCCAUCAGAUGUCCUCAAUAAAACCCAGCAAAUGAAGAACAGAGCUCAAAACCACCAAGAACACUCAAGAACAUCAAGAACAGCUCAAGAACACAAAACCAGAUCUUUAAGAACAUGAAUAACACACUUCCACCCUUUUAGUAACCUGGCUCUGAUACCAUAUACACUUUUGUGUAUUAGAGUGUGUUUAAGAACAAUCAGAUUGUUUUGUGUAAGAUUAAAGAGAUUAAGAGAAUAAGUAGAGAGAGAAUAAGUAGAGAGAAUACUCAAAACUCCAUUAAUUGAUUUAAUGUCUCAGAUACAAGUUAUAUAUGAAGAGAUAAGGCUGAUACAAAGGGGAUUUCGAAAUGGGACUCAAAGCAUGUGAAGUCAAGGCUAGCUGGCUGCUGAGAGGCUUCACAUGCUUGGACAGGCUGUAAAGUAGCUUUACCUUUCCAGCUAUGACCAGACCUUAUCCAAACAGCUCCUCCCUUAUCCUGACUCCUCUUGGGCGUGCUUCUCCUCACCAAAGUGAUCCAAGGUAACUUCCUAACCCUUUAACAUAGUUACCACAGUAAAACUAAAGUUACUGUGGUAAAACUCCAAAGUUACUAUCUGUCCCAAUACUCUUCCUCUAUCAAUGUAUCCACUCUUUAUCACCUCAUCUCAACA